Molecule: long non-coding RNA, 1738 nt
Filed under: Selaginella moellendorffii
Lineage: Eukaryota; Viridiplantae; Streptophyta; Lycopodiopsida; Selaginellales; Selaginellaceae
Description: long non-coding RNA (SMOE_LNC000826)
Source: RNAcentral
GCAACGGUAGCAAAUUUAACACGUAGCAUUUCCCUAGUUGACCAGAGAAGUGCAAACCCAAUGCCACCACAAUUCAUCCUACAGCUGUAAACUUCAUCAGUGAAGAGAAAGUGUGAAGUUUAGUGGCCGCCUCAACUUGUUCUAGCUUUUCAAACUACUCCACCAGCUUCCCUUACAAAUGCUUGAAAGCGGUUUCUUCGCAUUUCUUGUGUACGGUAGAACACCAGACAAUAAGUCCAGAACCACUUCUGUUGACUUUUUGUUGACAUAGUCACUAAAAGUCAAGAAAGCGUUUGACAAUGGCAUUUGUUUGUUCGUGUAACGAGGAAAACCAAGCAAGAACAACAAAAGAAGGAAGCCAUGGUUAUUAGUUACAGGUUGCUCUCGCUCAAGCAAUGCUGCUACAACUCCUCCUUGUUUCUUGGACAAGCCUCUUGAUCUCCCCUUGCAACUCCAUCAAAUUUCGGCGCAGAGAUCCAUAUCAGAUCCAUCCUCUGGAUGCCGACAUCAUCGCUUACAAGAUCCGCCUCCACAUCGCCCAGAGAAUCCAGCCGCGAGUCACGUACCAGCCCCAGAGCUGGGACACUUUCUUCACUCUCGCCUCGGGGCCAAACUUACACGCCUUCUCGAGGCUCUCGCUUUACGGCCGCGACUCGAGUGGCAAAUGCACUGGCAGCCCCUGCCCGCUUUACAUGCCCGGCGCCGUUUUGCGACGAGCCUUCGAGUUCCUGGCAGAUUGCAUCGCGGACGAGACACGCCGAGGCCUCUACGGCCACAUUUUCGCGACCAUGGGCAUCAUAGGAAUCGACUACGCUGUCAUUCAAUACGAAGAGAGGAGUUUUAGUAAUGGCUAUGAAUUCAGCAACACCACUGACCUGGACCUGUAUCGUCGUCACGGCUUUCCCGGGAGGAGUUCUAGCGAGAAAAGUGUUCGUCUUGGCACCACCUACAAGUCUUACGUUAGCUCUCCCGAUCACGACCUGGAAGAGGGAAAGAAUACAACUCACCUCCUGAUGGACGAAGACUGCGACCUCUUUGUCUCGUGCAUGGAAAGUGGAGGACGGGGAGACGAAGGAUCGGAGCUCUACGCCGGACAGCGUCUUGUGUCACUCAAUGGCAUCGUUGAGCUGGUUGUGGAGGAAACCUGUAACUUAGUGCUGUAUGCGAGGGGGAUAAGGAGACUGUGGUCGAGUGAUACCUCUGGACAAGGUGGAGGCAGUGGAUGCACGCUCACUCUCCAAAGGGAUGGGAACUUGGUGUUCUUGGGACGUGAUGGAAAAGGCUUCUGGGCGACGAACGUCUACUGCCAGCCGCAACCGAAUUCUAUCCUCUCAACUCGUUUGGUGGUCGAGGAUGACGGGCAUUUGUCUCUGUACCAAGAAGCGGCACCAAUGCGUUUGCUGUGGCGACGACCAUAGCUUUUUACUGCGAGAAAGAAAGUUAACCACAAGAGCACAAGAACGAAAGUAGUGGCUUACUUGAUCACUGCCACCAACAUGAGAAAGACAUUUUGAAGUCGUCAAUAGCAGCUCACGGUCACCACACGCGUAGGCUAAGCUGGACCCACGCAAGAGCCCUCCUCAAAUCCCCAGAACUCCUCGAACAGUAAACAUGGAUUCGAGGAACAGCAGAAAGCUUCAAAGGGCCGGUGCCCCCAAGACUACCGUUCACUUUGCGGACGAGGUAAGCAUUCAAGUUCCUUCUUCCGGCUCUGCUCUCGCUUCUCCACCGUCUCCAC